GAGUUUGAUCGUGGCUCAGGAUGAACGCUGGCGGCGUGCUUAACACAUGCAAGUCGAGCGAAGCACUUAUCAAUGAAUCUUCGGAGGAAUUGAUAUUUGACUGAGCGGCGGACGGGUGAGUAACGCGUGGGUAACCUGCCUCAUACAGGGGAAUAACAGUUAGAAAUGGCUGCUAAUGCCGCAUAAGCGCACAGGACCGCAUGGUCCGGUGUGAAAAACUGAGGUGGUAUGAGAUGGCCCGCGUCUGAUUAGGUAGUUGGUGGGGUAACGGCCUACCAAGCCGACGAUCAGUAGCCGGCCUGAGAGGGUGAACGGCCACAUUGGGACUGAGACACGGCCCAGACUCCUACGGGAGGCAGCAGUGGGGAAUAUUGCACAAUGGGGGAAACCCUGAUGCAGCGACGCCGCGUGAA
RNAcentral lists this ribosomal RNA (413 nucleotides) under uncultured bacterium. RNAcentral's name for it is "bacterial SSU rRNA". It matches the Rfam family "Bacterial small subunit ribosomal RNA", at positions 9 to 405 of the family's 1533-position model. The record is from RNAcentral.